RNAcentral lists this ribosomal RNA (253 nucleotides) under uncultured bacterium. RNAcentral's name for it is "partial 16S ribosomal RNA". It matches the Rfam family "Bacterial small subunit ribosomal RNA", at positions 524 to 776 of the family's 1533-position model. The record is from RNAcentral.
UACGUAGGAGGCAAGCGUUGUCCGGAAUUACUGGGUGUAAAGCGCGCGUAGGUGGCUUCGUAAGUCCGUUGUGAAAGUCAAAGGCUCAACCUUUGAAAGCCGAUGGAUACUGCGGAGCUAGAGUACGGAAGAGGCGAGUGGAAUUCCUGGUGUAGCGGUGGAAUGCGCAGAUAUCAGGAGGAACACCAAUAGCGAAGGCAGCUCGCUGGGACGUUACUGACACUGAGGCGCGAAAGCGUGGGGAGCGAACAGG